UCACUUAAGGAAGCAAUAAGCAUUCAGUAAGGAAACACACGGUAAGACAAAGAGCCUGGGAUUUGGAGUCGGAAGACUAGGAUUUCUACCUUCUUACUAGUGUUUGAUCUUGUGCAAGAUAGUUACUGUUGCCUAAACAAUAACAACAGCCAGUUAACUAGUGUGAACCUCGUGACAGGCAUUGUGCUUGGAGUAUUUUCUGUGUGAGCCCCACAACAACCCUGGGAGAUGGGCAUCCACAUUAUCACUAGAGAAUUUGAGAUGAGGUUUCAGAUGAGGAAGGUGAGUUUUAGAAUGGCUGCCUGGAAGAUGAAUCUUGUCAUUACGCUUCCUUCUCACAGUAGCCCAGAAACUUCAUCUGUGUGCGGCUCUGACACUUUGGAGAAUUAACCUCCCCAAGGUCAGGGCAGAGUGCUGACACCUCAUCCGAGUGCUGACCACAGGGCGAUGCUGGAAGUUUCUCUGCUUGUUAGUUUUCCAAUUAUAUUUCCUUAAGGAAAGGGAGUUGAGUCACAGUGAUCUUACAAUGACACAAUACAGCUGCUCAAGGAAAUCCUUGACUUGACUUUCCCUGCUUUAGGUGGAUUUGGAAAGGAAACCAUUUCAUGGCACAUUCAGAAAAUAGUUAAUGACUACCAUUCAGGGACACUUAUGUUUCAGGUUCAACAGCCACAUGAUCUCUAAUCUUUAUAACAUUCCUACAUGGUUGGAUAUAUUAACUGGUUGGAAUUAUUAACUGCCCCAUUUUAUAAAAGAAGAAGCUGGGGAUCUGGGAGGUUGGUCAAAGUAGACAAGGCCAUCCAGGUAUCCAGGGCUAAAGAAAGGCAGGUUUCAAACUCAGCCCCACCUAUUUCCAAAGCCCAUGCUCUGGAGGUGCUACACGUAACUGUGGCAACUAAGAACACCCUGUGAACAACCUAAAGAGAAGCCAGGUGUCACCCAAGUUCAUCCUGACAAAUCACUGCUAAAUGUUACAAAGCCAGACGUGUAAGUAACUUUUCCCUUUAUCUGGAGACUGGUGAAUCAAUUCCAAAAUACUGGAAAAUAAAUGUAAAUAAAAUAAGGGCCUAUCGCCCUUGACUUUCUCUGUGGGCCUAGCCAACAGUAAAAUUGAGUAUUUUCAUCCCUAUUGACAUAACCUUAGUUAUUUUGUGUGGGUGGUUUCCCUUUAAGUACUUCUUGCAUUUCCCAUUUGGCAAACCAUCCUUUUAAAGCACCUCCUCUUCUAAGGGCUUUCUUUGUUUCUGAAUCUCCCUUUAACAACCUCAACACCUUUUUGCCUUUCCAGAUUUUAAAACCACCACCCAGUACCUUCGCCCUUGAACCUACAUGCCACAAGAGCUCAGCAACAUUAACACUAAAACCUUGGGAGGUUUAUGUGGCUGACCCUGGGCUACCAGUGGGAACUCUGUGAUGCUUAUUCACUGGUUUCUAAAUAACUUUUUGUACAAACAAACAGAAACUACUGGCACCCUAGAUACAUUUCCCAUGUCAACCAUUGAAUUCUCAGGCGUCUGUUGAUCCAAAAGAUCUAAACAGUUUCAUAAGAUCCUCUUGAAGCUGCAUACAUGCCAAGGAUUGAGUGAAGAUCAUAGUUACGACCACAGGAGGAAAUCCUAUCAUUGUGAGCAGCUUUCACAGGAACGGCUCAUCAAGUAUUAGCAGUGAGGUCCUGGAGGCAUCGAAAACAAAUCCACAUGCAGUAUCAUCUGACCUGAUUUUCCUACAAAGAGUGUGAACUCUGGAGCCAGACAGCCUGGGAUCCAUUCUAGUUCUGCUGUGAGCCAUCUGUCAGGAGUCAGGCAAGUUCCUUGACCUCAUUAUGCUUCAUAUGUGUUAUCUGCAACACAGGAAUUAGCUACCUUCCAAGUUGUCAUGGGGAUUACAGGCAUGCUAUAUCCAUAUUAGCCUUUACUGUUAUUAUCGCCAUGCUAAUAAUAAUCUACACACUAUUUUCUGUUCAGGUGGGAAUUUCAUUUACUACUAAAAUGUAUUCCAGGAGCACCUGGGUGGCUCAGUCGGUUAAGCGUCCAACUUUGGCUCAGGUCAUGAUCUCACAGUUCGUGAGUUCCAGCCCCACAUCAGGCACUGCUGUCAGCCCAGAGACUGUUUGGGAUCCUCUGUCCCUUUCUCUCUCUGCCCUUACCCCACUUGUGCUCUCUCUCUCUCUCUCUCUC
Neofelis nebulosa (Clouded leopard) is the source of this 2177-nucleotide long non-coding RNA. RefSeq lists it as uncharacterized. NCBI's taxonomy places the organism in Eukaryota, Metazoa, Chordata, Mammalia, Carnivora, Felidae. The transcript has 4 exons. The record is from RefSeq and is a predicted model, not a curated record.